RNAcentral lists this small nuclear RNA (310 nucleotides) under Octodon degus (degu). Its description in RNAcentral is "7SK RNA (ENSODEG00000023911.1)". It matches the Rfam family "7SK RNA". From Rfam's summary of the family: 7SK was discovered as an abundant small nuclear RNA in the mid-70s but a possible function has only recently been suggested. Lineage: Eukaryota; Metazoa; Chordata; Mammalia; Rodentia; Octodontidae. The record is from Rfam by way of RNAcentral.
GGAUGUGAGGGCGAUCUGGGUGCGACAUCCGUCACCCCAGUGAUUGCCUGGGUUGAUUCGGCUGGCUAGGCGGGUGUCCCCUUCCUCCCUCGACGAUCCACGUGCGUCCCUCCCGAAGCUGCACGCUGGUCAUAGAGGACGACCACCCCCGAUCGAGGAGGACCGUUCCUCCGUCCCGGGUAUAUGAGUAGCGGCGCUCUGCUGCCACAACCUCCAGACAGAAACAAUCAGCUAGAACUGCAUUUGAGGUCGCCACAUAGUCUUAUAGGAACAAAAAUACCUAGGCUUCAGUUGUUACGCAGAGUUGGAA